This 21-nucleotide non-coding RNA is filed under the name Caenorhabditis elegans. The record is from RNAcentral. Lineage: Eukaryota; Metazoa; Nematoda; Chromadorea; Rhabditida; Rhabditidae.
UAUUUUCGGAAAAUUUGAUUU